AAAAAAAAAAAAAAGAAUAACUAUCAGUGUAGUUAAUUGUAAAGCGACAAACAUUUUUGGCCCCAGCAUUUGCGCAAAAUGUGGAAACAUGUGAUAUGAUGGAUCAUUAUAGGGCCAACCAAGAACAACAAGCAUCCACCUCUCAGAAGUUAAACCCCUGUUUGGAUUGAGCACAGUGUGAAUUAUUAAUGCAUCGUAUCAUAUUGUAUUGUAUUAUAUGGUCUGGUUUUUAUUAUUAAUAUGUUUGAAAAGAUGAUAUAGUAUAAGAUAGUUUAAUAACCUUUUCUUAUUUGGUUAAAUGGUAUAGUAUGGUAAAAUAAAUAUAAAAAUUACUAAA
This 337-nucleotide unclassified non-coding RNA is filed under the name Hevea brasiliensis (rubber tree). The record is from RNAcentral. Lineage: Eukaryota; Viridiplantae; Streptophyta; Magnoliopsida; Malpighiales; Euphorbiaceae.